GCCUGGGUGGCUCAGUCGGUUGGGCAUCCGACUUCGGCUCAGGUCAUGAUCUCACAGUUUGUGGGUUCAAGCCCCACGUCGGGCU
RNAcentral lists this transfer RNA (85 nucleotides) under Felis catus (domestic cat). It matches the Rfam family "tRNA". From Rfam's summary of the family: Transfer RNA (tRNA) molecules are approximately 80 nucleotides in length. The record is from Rfam by way of RNAcentral. Lineage: Eukaryota; Metazoa; Chordata; Mammalia; Carnivora; Felidae.